RNAcentral lists this ribosomal RNA (492 nucleotides) under uncultured bacterium. RNAcentral's name for it is "partial 16S ribosomal RNA". It matches the Rfam family "Bacterial small subunit ribosomal RNA", at positions 29 to 507 of the family's 1533-position model. The record is from RNAcentral.
AGUGAACGCUGGCGGUAGGCCUAACACAUGCAAGUCGAACGGCAGCACAGUAAGAGCUUGCUCUUACGGGUGGCGAGUGGCGGACGGGUGAGGAAUACAUCGGAAUCUACUUUUUCGGGGGGGAUAACGUAGGGAAACUUACGCUAAUACCGCAUACGACCUACGGGUGAAAGCAGGGGAUCUUCUGACCUUGCGCGAUUGAAUGAGCCGAUGUCGGAUUAGCUAGUUGGCGGGGUAAAGGCCCACCAAGGCGACGAUCCGUAGCUGGUCUGAGAGGAUGAUCAGCCACACUGGAACUGAGACACGGUCCAGACUCCUACGGGAGGCAGCAGUGGGGAAUAUUGGACAAUGGGCGCAAGCCUGAUCCAGCCAUACCGCGUGGGUGAAGAAGGCCUUCGGGUUGUAAAGCCCUUUUGUUGGGAAAGAAAAGCAGCAGGUUAAUACCCCGCUGUUCUGACGGUACCCAAAGAAUGAGCACCGGCUAACUUCGUG